CAGCAGCCGCGGUAAUGCGUAGGUGGCAAGCGUUGUCCGGAAUUAUUGGGCGUAAAGGGCUCGCAGGCGGUUUCUUAAGUCUGAUGUGAAAGUCCCCGGCUCAACCGGGGAGGGUCAUUGGAAACUGGGAAACUUGAGUGCAGAAGAGGAGAGUGGAAUUCCACGUGUAGCGGUGAAAUGCGUAAAGAUGUGGAGGAACACCAGUGGCGAAGGCGACUCUCUGGUCUGUAACUGACGCUGAGGAGCGAAAGCUAGGGGAGCAAACAGGAUUAGAUACCCCGGUAGUCCCUGUCUCUUAUAC
Molecule: ribosomal RNA, 301 nt
Filed under: uncultured bacterium
Lineage: Bacteria
Description: partial 16S ribosomal RNA
Rfam family: Bacterial small subunit ribosomal RNA
Source: RNAcentral